GUGCACCAGUCGCGAAAACUUCACACUGUGCGAAAGCACGAUGAGGGAAUCCCAAGUGCUUGCACGUAAGUGUAAGCUGUUUCUCUGUCUAAAACGCAGAGAGAGUAAGGGCUGGGUAAGACGGGUGCCAGCCGCCGCGGUAAUACCUGCAGCUCAAGUGGUGACCGUUAUUAUUGGGCCUAAAACGUCCGUAGCCGGUUUAAUAAAUGCCUGGGUAAAUUGUGUAGCUUAACUGUACGAAUUCCGGGUAGACUGUUAAACUUGAGACCGGGAGAAGUUAGAGGUACUCCUGGGGUAGAGGUGAAAUUCUGUAAUCCUAGGGGGACCACCAGUGGCGAAGGCGUCUAACUAGAACGGGCCUGACGGUGAGGGACGAAGCCCUGGGGCGCAAACGGGAUUAGAUACCCCCGUAGU
Molecule: ribosomal RNA, 414 nt
Filed under: uncultured microorganism
Description: bacterial SSU rRNA
Rfam family: Archaeal small subunit ribosomal RNA
Source: RNAcentral